GAUGAACGCUGGCGGCGUGCCUAAUACAUGCAAGUCGAGCGAAGCGGGGACGGGUGAGUAACACGUGGAUAACCUCCUAUAAGACUGUGAUAACUUCGGGAAACCGGAGCUCAACCGGAUACUUAUCGAUGGAUCCGCGCUUCAUUAGCUAGUUGGGAAGGUAACGGCUUACCAAGGAAACGAUGCAUAGCAGACCGGAGAGGGUGAUCGGCCACACUGGAACUGAGACACGGUCCAGACUCCUACGGGAGGCAGCAGGAGGGAAUCUUCCGCAAUGGGCGAAAGCCUGACGGAGAAACGCCGCGUGAGUGAUGAAGGUCUUCGGAUCGUAAAACUCUGUUAUUAGGGAAGCGGUACCUAAUCAGAAAGCCACGGCUAACUACGUGCCAGCCGCCGCGGUAAUUC
This 405-nucleotide ribosomal RNA is filed under the name uncultured bacterium. Its description in RNAcentral is "partial 16S ribosomal RNA". It matches the Rfam family "Bacterial small subunit ribosomal RNA", at positions 28 to 526 of the family's 1533-position model. The record is from RNAcentral.